This 465-nucleotide ribosomal RNA is filed under the name uncultured bacterium. RNAcentral describes it as "partial 16S ribosomal RNA". It matches the Rfam family "Bacterial small subunit ribosomal RNA", at positions 28 to 507 of the family's 1533-position model. The record is from RNAcentral.
GACGAACGCUGGCGGCGUGCUUAACACAUGCAAGUCGAACGGAAAGGCCCUGCUUGCAGGGUACUCGAGUGGCGAACGGGUGAGUAACACGUGGGUGAUCUGCCCUGCACUUCGGGAUAAGCCUGGGAAACUGGGUCUAAUACCGGAUAGGAGCCAUUUUUAGUGUGAUGGUUGGAAAGUUUUUUCGGUGUAGGAUGAGCUCGCGGCCUAUCAGCUUGUUGGUGGGGUAAUGGCCUACCAAGGCGGCGACGGGUAGCCGGCCUGAGAGGGUGGACGGCCACAUUGGGACUGAGAUACGGCCCAGACCCCUACGGGAGGCAGCAGUGGGGAAGAUUGCACAAUGGGCGCAAGCCUGAUGCAGCGACGCCGCGUGGGGGAUGACGGCCUUCGGGUUGUAAACUCCUUUCGCUAGGGACGAAGCUUUUUGUGACGGUACCUAGAUAAGAAGCACCGGCUAACUACGUG